UACGUAGGGUGCGAGCGUUGUCCGGAAUUAUUGGGCGUAAAGAGCUCGUAGGCGGUCUGUCGCGUCGAUCGUGAAAACUUGGGGCUUAACCCUGAGCUUGCGGUCGAUACGGGCAUGACUGGAGUUCGGUAGGGGAGACUGGAAUUCCUGGUGUAGCGGUGAAAUGCGCAGAUAUCAGGAGGAACACCGGUGGCGAAGGCGGUUCUCUGGGCAUGUCCUGACGCUGAGGAGCGAAAGUGUGGGGAGCGAACAGG
RNAcentral lists this ribosomal RNA (254 nucleotides) under uncultured bacterium. RNAcentral's name for it is "partial 16S ribosomal RNA". It matches the Rfam family "Bacterial small subunit ribosomal RNA", at positions 524 to 776 of the family's 1533-position model. The record is from RNAcentral.